This is a long non-coding RNA of Papaver somniferum (opium poppy), 287 nucleotides long. RefSeq lists it as uncharacterized. Lineage: Eukaryota; Viridiplantae; Streptophyta; Magnoliopsida; Ranunculales; Papaveraceae. The transcript has 3 exons. The record is from RefSeq and is a predicted model, not a curated record.
CUUGCUGAAAAAGAUGUAAGUUUUCGAUAUGUUUUAUUCUAAAAUUUGAGAUAUCAACAUUUCAAAGAACUUGUCUCUUGUGUAGAAUGAGUAUGAUUGGGACAAGGUAUCAAAUCUUUCAUAUGUUGACCAGCCUACUGGAGCUAGUUUUAGUUACAGUUCUGAUGAUCGUGACCUCCUGCAUGUGAAUUAACAAUAAAUCUUUGUGAUGAGGGUAUGCCGUUCUGAAGUAUUGGCUCAGUUCACCAUCCUGCAGUAUUUUUAUUUCUGGUUUGCAGUUGUUAUUG